This 531-nucleotide ribosomal RNA is filed under the name uncultured bacterium. RNAcentral's name for it is "bacterial SSU rRNA". It matches the Rfam family "Bacterial small subunit ribosomal RNA", at positions 355 to 896 of the family's 1533-position model. The record is from RNAcentral.
UGGGGAAUAUUGCACAAUGGGCGGAAGCCUGAUGCAGCGACGCCGCGUGGGGGAUGAAGGCCUUCGGGUUGUAAACUCCUUUCGACAGGGACGAAGCUUUUGUGACGGUACCUGUAUAAGAAGCACCGGCUAACUACGUGCCAGCAGCCGCGGUAAUACGUAGGGUGCGAGCGUUGUCCGGAAUUACUGGGCGUAAAGAGCUCGUAGGUGGUUUGUCGCGUCGUCCGUGAAAUUCCGGGGCUUAACUCCGGGCGUGCAGGCGAUACGGGCUGACUUGAGUGCUGUAGGGGAGACUGGAAUUCCUGGUGUAGCGGUGAAAUGCGCAGAUAUCAGGAGGAACACCGAUGGCGAAGGCAGGUCUCUGGGCAGUAACUGACGCUGAGGAGCGAAAGCAUGGGUAGCGAACAGGAUUAGAUACCCUGGUAGUCCAUGCCGUAAACGGUGGGCGCUAGGUGUAGGGGGCUUCCACGUCUUCUGUGCCGUAGCUAACGCAUUAAGCGCCCCGCCUGGGGAGUACGANAAGCAAGGCUA